GACGAACGCUGGCGGCGUGCUUAACACAUGCAAGUCGAACGGAAAGGCCCUGCUUUUGUGGGGUGCUCGAGUGGCGAACGGGUGAGUAACACGUGAGUAACCUGCCCUUGACUUUGGGAUAACUUCAGGAAACUGGGGCUAAUACCGGAUAGGAGCUCCUGCUGCAUGGGGGGGGGGGGAAAGGUGCGGCGGUGGGGGAGGGACGCGCGGCGUAUCAGCUUGGUGGUGGGGUAGUGGCUUACCAAGGCUGUGACGGGGAGACGGCCAGAGAGGGUGGCAGGCCCCAUUGGGGCUGCGCUGCGGCCCCGCCUCCUCCUUUUUCCCGCCGGUCUUCCUCUUCCCCCGUGUUCCGCCGCCUGCUGCCGCGCCGCCGCGUGCGGGAUGCCGGCCUUCGGGUUGUACCCCGCUUUCGCCUUUGGCGCCGCGUGUGUGGCUGUUGUCCCUCCCGCCGCUCCGGCUCCCUCCGUC
RNAcentral lists this ribosomal RNA (468 nucleotides) under uncultured bacterium. Its description in RNAcentral is "partial 16S ribosomal RNA". It matches the Rfam family "Bacterial small subunit ribosomal RNA", at positions 28 to 507 of the family's 1533-position model. The record is from RNAcentral.